GACGAACGCUGGCGGCGUGCCUACUACAUGCAAGUCGAGCGCGCGUCCUUCGGGAUGGCGAGCGGCGGACGGGUGAGUAACACGUGAAUAACUUGUCCAGAAGACGGGGAUAACCCUUGGAAACGAGGGAUAAUACCGGAUACGCCUCUUUGGCCGCAUGGUCUGGAGAGGGAAAGAUGCCUUCGGGUGUCACUUUUGGAGAGAUUCGCGGUGCAUUAGCUAGUUGGUGGAGGUAAUGGCUCACCAAGGCAACGAUGCAUAGCCGGCCUGAGAGGGUGGACGGCCACACUGGGACUGAGACACGGCCCAGACUCCUACGGGAGGCAGCAGUAGGGAAUUUUCCGCAAUGGGCGAAAGCCUGACGGAGCGACGCCGCGUGGGUGAAGACGGCCUUUGGGUUGUAAAGCCCUGUUCAUCGGGAAGAAGAAAUGACGGUACCGGUGAAGAAAGCCCCGGCUAACUACGUGCCAGCAGCCGCCGUAAUAC
RNAcentral lists this ribosomal RNA (486 nucleotides) under uncultured bacterium. RNAcentral describes it as "bacterial SSU rRNA". It matches the Rfam family "Bacterial small subunit ribosomal RNA", at positions 28 to 526 of the family's 1533-position model. The record is from RNAcentral.